UUUGCAAAUGCAAGAGUUAUAACCUUCAAUUUUAUUUCUCAAAUAUUAUUGUCUCCUACUUCUUCCAUAGAGUACAUAAAAAUGAUAAACAAUUCAAAAUAAUAUUAAAGGGUUUAAAAAGAUACAUACGAAAAGUAGAGUAAAAUCUAUUAUUUUGCUACAUCACCCAUUUUUGUAGGCCUGUGUUUGGAUAUAAUUCAACCCCACUUCCCUAUGCAGGUUGCCGUGCCUUUGGAGAAGCUACAAAUUGCAGCUUCGCAUUUGACGCGUGCUACAGUUACCCACCACAAAAACAAAGAGGCUCUAAUUGUAUCUUGAAAUUGAUGGUACACCAUGGAAAAACAGAUGUCUCUCCGGAUUUACACCAACAAAAUAUACUCAUUAAACUCUAUUCGUUUGUAUAAACACCUUAAUUAAGAGCUUAUAGCAUAAGCUCUUAUCAUAUAAGUGCUUAUAUGUAUAAGAAAUUUUUAUAAUGAAAGAUAAAAUCGAAAUCAAUUGUCUUCAUAUUAUAUAUAUAUGUCAUAACAUGUUUUCAUAAGCUCUCCCAGAAAGUCUAACAAGUGCUAAUGUUGAUAAACAUGCUCAAAUAACUAAAUCCAAGCAACCUUAUGACAAAUCCACCUAAUUACAAUAACUAUUCAAAAAGAGACCGAUAUUGAGGACAAAACUGAGAGUUCAAUCUUCCUAUACUAAUGAAAUGAAAAAAAAGUAUAAUUUCAGUGUACAGAAAAUUUACCUGACAAAAAGUGAAAUCAUUAUCACUGUCCAUUUCAAAGCACACUGAUGAUUGCAGGCAGGUAGGAUAGGCGAUUAUGGAGGCAGAAUCGCAGGAUCUCUGGCGAUCUAUGAAGCACGCGAUGGAUUGAAAAUAUUGGCUAGGGUUCCUUUUCUGUCGCUGAACUUAUUCACAAAAAGUGAUUUUCUCAAUCUUUGCUGCGUGCGAAAUUACGGUCUAUGCNAAAAUCUAUUAUUUUGCUACAUCACCCAUUUUUGUAGGCCUGUGUUUGGAUAUAAUUCAACCCCACUUCCCUAUGCAGGUUGCCGUGCCUUUGGAGAAGCUACAAAUUGCAGCUUCGCAUUUGACGCGUG
Molecule: long non-coding RNA, 1092 nt
Filed under: Lathyrus oleraceus (garden pea)
Lineage: Eukaryota; Viridiplantae; Streptophyta; Magnoliopsida; Fabales; Fabaceae
Description: Pisum sativum (pea) long non-coding RNA (PSAT_LNC034646)
Source: RNAcentral